CAGGCCUUGACAUCCAAUGAACUUUCCAGAGAUGGAUUGGUGCCUUCGGGAACAUUGAGACAGGUGCUGCAUGGCUGUCGUCAGCUCGUGUCGUGAGAUGUUGGGUUAAGUCCUGUAACGAGCGCAACCCUCGCCCUUAGUUGCCAGCAUUUAGUUGGGCACUCUAAGGGGACUGCCGGUGAUAAGCCGAGAGGAAGGUGGGGAUGACGUCAAGUCCUCAUGGCCCUUACGGGCUGGGCUACACACGUGCUACAAUGGUCGGUACAGAGGGUUGCCAAGCCGCGAGGUGGAGCUAAUCCCACAAAACCGAUCGUAGUCCGGAUCGCAGUCUGCAACUCGACUGCGUGAAGUCGGAAUCGCUAGUAAUCGCGAAUCAGAAUGUCGCGGUGAAUACGUUCCC
This 400-nucleotide ribosomal RNA is filed under the name uncultured bacterium. Its description in RNAcentral is "bacterial SSU rRNA". It matches the Rfam family "Bacterial small subunit ribosomal RNA", at positions 975 to 1375 of the family's 1533-position model. The record is from RNAcentral.